AAAAACCGGUGGCAAAAAAACCCACUCCUAUCGAUCCCCUAGAGACACAGCGCUCCUCUCGCGAACAAGGCCCCGAUCCGCUCUUCCUCCUCUCCCGAGGAUACGCAGCCGCCGCCGCCGAUCUGCCGAUCCGGGCAUCACAGCCGCCGCCGAUCUGCCGAUCCGGGCAUCACAGCCGCCGCCGAUCUGCCUAUCCGGGCAGACGCGGCCUUCACGGAUCACGAGAACGCCGGCGCCGCCGGCUCCUCGGAUGCGUCGCCCCCGGCGCCUCGGAUGCGUCGCCCGUCACCACCACGAUGGCACCUCGCUGAUGCCGCUCGGCAUGGAUUGCCGCCCUGAAGGGGGGCAGGGGGGCGGCCACCGCGGGCCCCCAAACUCUAGGGGCCACAUCCCAGAUCGUGGUCCUUCCCUCCCUACGAUGCAAGUCACGCCCUACGCGGCGGCCGCCAGGAAACAAAUGCGCGAGGCCGCAAGCGGAUCCAGCGGGUUGCGACAUUCAGACGGCCUACCGGGAACAUGAUGGUUGGCUUGUUGCUUCUGAUCUGAUUGCUCCAGGACUCCUUUUGUUUUUCUGCCACAAAGCUCCUUCCACCUAUGAUAUGUGUAUCAAGCAGUCGAUCACAACAGUUCACCAAUCAGCCCUAUUUGCUUCACCGGCCGGAUCUCCUAGAGAGGAACUAUGGAUAAAUUUUAUCAAGAGUAAUAGGGGCACUUCGACGAGUUGGCAGUAAUUCCCGUGGACGAACCAACUACUGAUGUUAAGAAUCAAGAUCCAUAUGAGCUUGGUUACGCACUAAAUUAUUCUGGAGGAUCUCAGGUAAUCGUUGCAGUUGAAGAUUACGCCCCUGGUCAUGAUUCUCAUUUUCAAACUUGCCAUUCAUCAUAGGUUUUGUAUGGAGUGUAUUCAUGCAUUAUAUUGGAGCAGGGACCUGCCGAGGAGGGGGAUACCAUGGGGAGGCGAACCUGGUAAAGUAGGGGUGGAAAGUAGACUAUAGUUAUGUUAUCCGUGGCAAGGACUUGGUGGAUUGUUUACCAUUUAGUUGUGUUCAACACUGAAAAAUGGUAAUAUCAUUUUUUUGUCCUUUGCAAAUUAAAUUAUUAAUCCAUAACAUUAUUUUUAUAUAUGGGCUUCUAUUAGCGCAACUGGAUUGAUGCAGCGGAGAAUUACCUUCAAAAUGAUUAAACGAAUGCGAAGAUUGGCCUUCUUGAAUUUUGACCACGUCUAAUAACACUUCUGAAUUAUGUCUAAUCUCCAUGUAGUUUGGUCCGGUUAUUUCAUCAACUAGCCCACUACUAUGUGCUGGAAGUUAUAUUGUUACUUAAUACAGGCUACACAUUCUAAACAUCUUUUUGACUGUGUUGUCAGAUUGAUUUAUCCAAUGGAACCUCACAUUAAUAAUAAAUUCCUUACAAUAACAAUGUGCUUUAUUUGAAAAUGGUUGAAUAUAAUUACCAAAGUUUGAUGGACGUUCAUAUGGAGAGCGCAAAUGCAAAUGUUCAUAUUGUAUUGACGAUGCUCCCUUUUGAAAUUAACAUGCUUUGUCAAUUUAUUUUCGACAUGAUGUAUUAUCUUAUUACUUUUUAGCCUAUAGGUUUUAUAUGAGUGAAAAUUAAAUAUGACAGUUCUCAGUCUGGUCUUGCCAACCCCUCCAUGUCAACCAGGGGAGUAAGCAGGUCGUUUUUUCGGGGAGGGUGAGGCACAACCUUGUGAAGGAGUGGAGAAGACAGUGUGCUCUGGUCCUCCUCCAAGCCCGCCAGCGACUUAUCAUUUGUUGCUCUUCCCUUACAAGAUCCUUGAGGUCAGGUGUGAUAACUAGCGACACGUGGUGGAGCUUCUGCGGUAGGGCAUCGCCGACGGCAACAUCACCUGCAUCAAACCCUCCCUGGUCGCCUUCGAGAGUGUGUGCACCCGACCUACAAGCUUGUUAUGAUGCCCUUUGAAUUUCCGAGCAAGUUGCAACCUUUCCAGAUUUAUCAACACUGGUCACAUUAGUAGUCAAUAUGGUUCAGAUGCAUAAUAGUACGUACUUCGUUUCCUUUUCGUUGCAUACAUGGCAUCUUGUGAGGAAGUGUUCCUUAUAUUAUGUAACUAGGGAUAAAUAUGACGAAGCCAACAGUAAAGGAGCUCAUGUAAAAAAACUGAAGUUUAAAGGAAAUUGUUAUAAUAUAUAUAUCAAUUCCGACAUUGGUAUCUAAAGGAUGGGUCAAGGAAUAUUUGUCCCUGAUGAGUGAUGGGUUUCCCUGUUUGGCUCCCUUUUCUGUGAGUUGACUCUAUAGAUCUAGGAUCUUCUCUGAAACCGUAAAUUGGCAGUUGUAGCAAAAGUAUAUAUAUAGUUGCUAGACCUUCUCAUUACACUCUUUCACUUUUUUGGCCUA
RNAcentral lists this ribosomal RNA (2376 nucleotides) under Triticum aestivum (bread wheat). RNAcentral's name for it is "partial small subunit ribosomal RNA". The record is from RNAcentral. Lineage: Eukaryota; Viridiplantae; Streptophyta; Magnoliopsida; Poales; Poaceae.